GUGUUGUAUGAAAGGAGAGAAGGUUAGCAUUCCCCUUGACAAGAAUGGAAGAGGUCCUCCUCCUAACAAGCAUAUGGUUAAGACAUUGCCACCUAUUUUGUGGAAUUUAACCAUCAUUUUUC
Small nuclear RNA from Marmota marmota marmota (Alpine marmot), 122 nucleotides. The record is from Ensembl. Lineage: Eukaryota; Metazoa; Chordata; Mammalia; Rodentia; Sciuridae.